RNAcentral lists this ribosomal RNA (310 nucleotides) under uncultured eukaryote. RNAcentral describes it as "partial 18S ribosomal RNA". It matches the Rfam family "Eukaryotic small subunit ribosomal RNA", at positions 1470 to 1796 of the family's 1831-position model. The record is from RNAcentral.
CCCUUAGAUGUUCUGGGCUGCACGCGUGCUACACUGAUUAUUUCAACAAGUGUUUUAACUGGAGAGUUCGCGUAAUCCUGAAAUGUUAUCGUGAUGGGAGUAGAGUAUUGUAUUUGUUAAUCUUUAACGAGGAAUUCCUAGUAAGUGUAGGUUUAUAAGUUGUUCUGAUUACGUCCCUGCCCUUUGUACACACCGCCCGUCGCUCCUACCGAUUGAUUGAUCCGGUGAAUUACAUAGAAUUUUGCGUUUUACACGACGGAAGACGAAGUGUUUUAAACCUUAUCAUUUAGAGGAAGGAGAAGUCGUAACA